UGCAAGUCGAGCGAAUGGAUUAAGAGCUUGCUCUUAUAGAAGUUAGCGGCGGACGGGUGAGUAACACGUGGGUAACCUGCCCAUAAGACUGGGAUAACUCCGGGAAACCGGGGCUAAUACCGGAUAACAUUUUGAACUGCAUGGUUCGAAAUUGAAAGGCGGCUUCGGCUGUCACUUAUGGAUGGACCCGCGUCGCAUUAGCUAGUUGGUGAGGUAACGGCUCACCAAGGCAACGAUGCGUAGCCGACCUGAGAGGGUGAUCGGCCACACUGGGACUGAGACACGGCCCAGACUCCUACGGGAGGCAGCAGUAGGGAAUCUUCCGCAAUGGACGAAAGUCUGACGGAGCAACGCCGCGUGAGUGAUGAAGGCUUUCGGGUCGUAAAACUCUGUUGUUAGGGAAGAACAAGUGCUAGUUGAAUAAGCUGGCACCUUGACGGUACCUAACCAGAAAGCCACGGCUAACUACGUGCCAGCAGCCGCGGUAAUACGUAGGUGGCAAGCGUUAUCCGGAAUUAUUGGGCGUAAAGCGCGCGCAGGUGGUUUCUUAAGUCUGAUGUGAAAGCCCACGGCUCAACCGUGGAGGGUCAUUGGAAACUGGGAGACUUGAGUGCAGAAGAGGAAAGUGGAAUUCCAUGUGUAGCGGUGAAAUGCGUAGAGAUAUGGAGGAACACCAGUGGCGAAGGCGACUUUCUGGUCUGUAACUGACACUGAGGCGCGAAAGCGUGGGGAGCAAACAGGAUUAGA
Molecule: ribosomal RNA, 747 nt
Filed under: Bacillus cereus
Lineage: Bacteria; Bacillati; Bacillota; Bacilli; Caryophanales; Bacillaceae
Description: bacterial SSU rRNA
Rfam family: Bacterial small subunit ribosomal RNA
Source: RNAcentral